CAGCUGACUACUUUUUUUUUUUUUUUUAAUCAAUCGGUAAGGAUUUCAUUCAACUCAAAAAAUACCACAAGGCCCAAGGACCUGAUCCAUGGAAGCUACUAAAAGAAGAUUUUGUAGCUGUCCUAAAACACUACUGACUCCAAAUAGCUAGCCCAGCCAAACCAAUGAAAAUAACUAAUAGGGAACCAUAACUAAGGAUUCCAUAGUACACAAAAUAUUCUCUAUACACAAUACCACCAGCAACAAUUUGGGUAGAAGACAAUUUGGUAGGCCAGAUGGAAAACUCGAGUCCCACUAUUUCACCCCUAUUUUCUCUUGUCAACUAAACAAUGGAGAAAUAAGUAUUUGAGCACAAUCAAAUCUAACUUGAUUAAGAUUUAGUCAGUUGUAGGCCACUAAGAAUUAAGUCCAAAUUAAAGUGAUUAACCAAUUAACAUAAGAAUACAUAAAUCAAAACUAAGCAUGGAUAAGCAAAUAAAAUGAAUAGCCCACAGAAAUCAAAACUACAAUAACACAGCCAUAACACAUGGAUGUGCUAUUGAAGAGGAAAACUCAAGAAUUGGACGGAAAAACCCCUUUGUGGUCUUACUGCCGAAACCAAUCUACUAGAAUAGAUAGUUGCAGUGCAUAAUAUCUAUGUACUCAAGCCCUCUAAGCUUUUGCUUGCAGCCGACUUCGCAAUUCCUUUCUCUACUCUACCAUCUGGAUUUGUGACUGAGCUCUAAUUGCAACUUCAAGCCACCAUGGCUAAUUUUGGGUUGCUCCAAUGAUUCCUAAGGCACUAAUCAACACUCACAAAUCUUGAGAUAAUGAAGAAUAUGAUGGUAUCAAUCUCCACAGAAUUCACCAAUUUGCAGUUGCUUCCUGGGAUUCAAGCCAAAGAAUAUCAAAGAAUGGAAUUGAGGCAAUUGGACUAGUAGAAGUGUUAGGAGGACUCCGUUGCAGUCUGAGAGGGUGAACAUUGGUGGUGAAGGAGACAAAAAAGAUGGGUUUUUGAAACUGAAGAUGAUGAAAGUGACAGACUUUGCAGAUUGGUCAACUGCUUUCCAAAACAAAUGCAGAGAGCAGUGCUUGGAGAAUUGUUCUUGUAUAGCAUAUGCAUAUGAAACUGGCAUUGGUUGUAUGUCUUGGAUUGAUAAACAAAUUGAUACAAAGCAAUUAUCCAGUUCUGGAGUUGAACUUUACAUUCAUUUGGCCUACUCAGAAUUUGAUAAAGUGGGAGAUGUGAAAAAAAAACUGUCACAAUCACUGAUUUACAGGAACAAUUUUCCUUUCCAUCUGGACUUAUUUACUGUGGAGGUGGAUGGCAAAGCAAAAAGAGAAGAAGCAUAACCAAAAUUUCUUAGUGACAACCUGGACCAAGUUAAAGCCCAGGACCUACCAUUAUUCAAUUUUGAGAAGCUAGCAAGUGCAACGAACAACUUCCAUCUAUCUAACAAGCUUGGGCAGGGUGGAUUUGGUCCCUUAUACAGGGUAAUGGUUGCCCUACUAGAUGUUUCUUGUCUAAUAAUUUGAAUGUCUAGUUAACCAUUAGAUGUUUGUUUAUAGGGAAAAUUGUCAUAUGGACAAGAGAUUGUAGUAAAAAGACUUUCUAAAACUUCUGGACAAGGGUAACAAGAAUUUAUGAAUGGUGUGGAGUUAAUUUUAAACUUCAACAUUGGAAUCUUGUUAGGCUCCUUGGUUGCAGUGUUGAAGGAGAAGAAAAGAUGUUGAUCUAUGAAUUCAUGUUGAACAAAACUCUAGAUGCACUCCUCUUUGGUAAGUUAAUUUUGAUGCCCUUUCUUAUAAUACAUUUGCGUUAUAGGUAAAUUUUCUGCUUAUAAAUAUCAGUGUAUGAGUAGUGAUUGUUGCACACACUGUGUACGUACACACCGUGGGCAACAGGAAUUACUGUUAUAGUAUUAUGAGACAUUUGAGUUUUUUUCUUUUGUCAUACUUCAAUUGAAACAGACUUUUCCAAUUCUCUUAUAACUUCACCCCUAGAACUUCUUUUUCAAAUUUUAUGUUCUUUCACCUUGUGAGUUUCUCAUAAUGAUUUUGUUUUAAUUCAUUAGAUCCUCACAAGGGAAAACUAUUAGAUUGGAGAAAACGUUUCAACAUUAUUGAAGGAAUUGGUCGAGGUCUACUUUACCUUCAUAGGGAUUCUAGAUUAAGGAUUAUUAAUAGAGAUUUAAAGGCAAGUUACAUCUUAAUGGAUAAAGAGCUAAAUCCAAAAAUAUUAGAUUUGGAAUUGCCAAAUUUUUUGGAAAUAAUGAAGACUAGUCCAAUACUAAUAGGGUUGUUGGAACGUAGUAAGUACCUUUCAUUUUGGUCAAUUCAACUGGAAACGAGUACUAAUAAGUGGAAGAAGAAACUCUAGGUUUUAUGGUCAAGAGCAGUCCAUGAGCCUUUUAGGAUUUGACAAUUUGUAAGUCAUCCUUAUCUCAUGAGCCUUUCAAUUUUAUUCAAGUAUAAUUGUCAAUUUGUAUGAUAUUUUAUCAUUUCCUCUCUUCCCAUUUUAAUUUUUAUGACAUCCAAAAAGGGAGGGAUAUUCUCCAAUUUCUUUAUUUUUAAGGAGGUCAAAACAAGAGAAAUGGGGAUAAGUAUUUUCCUCCUCUUUCCUCUCUUUUCAUAUGAUAAUCUCUAAUCUUCUCUCCUUCCAAACUUCCAAACAUAUUGUCAAUGGAAUCGUGCAUUGACCUACAAUGAGAUUGCAUCGAAUCUGGUACUACAUUUUGCUUCUUUGAACUGAUUUCUUUCUUUCAUUCACCUUCUUAAUUGGGUUUGUUUCCUUUUCUCUUGACUACUGGGAAUAUUUGGUUCACAAAACAUGCACUCUUUUUGCUCAUCACGACUUAUAUUUUCUUGGAUAAAAAAACAUGCAAGGGAAUUUUUCCACUUAGAUAUCCGUACAGUUCUUGCUCCAAAAAUAUCAGUUUUGAUAGCCUGGUCCCCUCUUCCGGUCAUCUAGCAAAGCUUAACAUGGUACCUGCAAGGGAAACCCAGUCAGGGCCUUCAGGACCACCAUGGAAACUGGUUGACAGGUUUUUCCUUAAAAUUGGGUAAUACUUACAAAGUGUUACAGCAGAGUUUUGUGCAUCAAGGAAAGGAGUAUAACACUGUAACUGGCUUGGCAGGUGUAUUUAGACAUUUUUUGUUUGAAACAAAUUGAGUUCUGGUUUUUUCUCCAUGAUUUUCUGUGUAAGUGUCUGAUUCUAGGAAGAUUUUGUGCCUGGACUAGAGGGUUGAGCAAUCUCAUAUGAUAUCUACUAGUAAGCUAAUGGAUGCACAGAUUUUUUUGGCUACGAAGAGUGGGGAACACCGGAACAAGAUGAAAUCCAAGUGCUUGUAUUUUGUUUUCCCUAGUUUGUUUGUACUGCACAGAGGAUUUCUUGUAUUCCUCUUUUGUGGGAUGCAUUGAGCUUGCCCCACCUUAUGCUGUAGCAUGUAUGUAAGCUAAUAAAUGUAAUUAAUGGGGAAAAAAUGUAAACCCGAGAUGGAAGAUAUCAUGAUUGUUAAACAGAACUUGGAUC
Molecule: long non-coding RNA, 3512 nt
Organism: Quercus lobata
Lineage: Eukaryota; Viridiplantae; Streptophyta; Magnoliopsida; Fagales; Fagaceae
Exons: 3
Source: RefSeq, a predicted model, not a curated record